GACGAACGCUGGCGGCGUGCUUAACACAUGCAAGUCGAACGGGAUCCGGGCUUUCGGGUUUGGUGAGAGUGGCGAACGGGUGAGUAACACGUGAGUAACCUGCCCCCUUCUUUGGGAUAACGUCGGGAAAUCGGCGCUAAUACUGGAUAUUCUUGCUGCAUCGCAUGGUGUGGUUUGGAAAGGGUUUCUGGUGGGGGAUGGGCUCGCGGCCUAUCAGCUUGUUGGUGGGGUGAUGGCCUACCAAGGCUUUGACGGGUAGCCGGCCUGAGAGGGUGUCCGGCCACACUGGGACUGAGACACGGCCCAGACUCCUACGGGAGGCAGCAGUGGGGAAUAUUACACAAUGGGCGCAAGCCUGAUGCAGCGACGCCGCGUGAGGGAUGACGGCCUUCGGGUUGUAAACCCCUUUCAGUAUGGAACAAGGAUCCUUCUUUUGGGGGGUUUGAGGGUACGUGCAGAAGAAGCGCCGGCUAACUACGUG
RNAcentral lists this ribosomal RNA (481 nucleotides) under uncultured bacterium. Its description in RNAcentral is "partial 16S ribosomal RNA". It matches the Rfam family "Bacterial small subunit ribosomal RNA", at positions 28 to 507 of the family's 1533-position model. The record is from RNAcentral.